Molecule: unclassified non-coding RNA, 314 nt
Filed under: plant metagenome
Description: partial contains 5.8S ribosomal RNA, internal transcribed spacer 2, and large subunit ribosomal RNA
Rfam family: 5.8S ribosomal RNA (bases 1-105)
Source: RNAcentral
GAAAUGCGAUAAUUAAUGUGAAUUGCAGAAUUCAGUGAAUCAUCGAGUCUUUGAACGCACAUUGCGCCCCCUGGUAUUCCGGGGGGCAUGCCUGUCCGAGCGUCAUUGCUGCCCUCAAGCACGGCUUGUGUGUUGGGCUUCCGUCCCUGGCAACGGGGACGGGCCCAAAAGGCAGUGGCGGCACCAUGUCUGGUCCUCGAGCGUAUGGGGCUUUGUCACCCGCUCCCGUAGGUCCAGCUGGCAGCUAGCCUCGCAACCAAUCUUUUUAACCAGGUUGACCUCGGUUCAGGUAGGGAUACCCGCUGAACUUAAGC